GCGGAGGUGGGACGACGAAAUCGAAUUCUGUGACCGCUUUAGGUCGUGAGGGUUCAAGUCCCUCUCUCCGCA
RNAcentral lists this transfer RNA (72 nucleotides) under Streptococcus parasanguinis. Its description in RNAcentral is "tRNA-OTHER". The record is from RNAcentral. Lineage: Bacteria; Bacillati; Bacillota; Bacilli; Lactobacillales; Streptococcaceae.